RNAcentral lists this long non-coding RNA (242 nucleotides) under Gossypium barbadense (sea-island cotton). Its description in RNAcentral is "long non-coding RNA (GBAR_LNC022731)". Lineage: Eukaryota; Viridiplantae; Streptophyta; Magnoliopsida; Malvales; Malvaceae. The record is from RNAcentral.
CUCACCCUAUUAUGAAAAAAAGGGACACCAAGAUACUUGCCUAGAUUAUCGACUUUAGUAAAACCAAGUUUAGAACUUAACCUUGAAGAUACCUCAUCAGGAACAUUCCUUGAGAAAAAUACUUGGGUCUUUAACCUAUUCACACGAUGAUCUGAGUAAUGACAGAAGGUAUCCAGGACAUGUUUGAGACAAUCAACUCCCCUAUCAUCAGCUUUAUAAAAGACCAGAAGGUCCUCUGCAAA